RNAcentral lists this ribosomal RNA (496 nucleotides) under uncultured bacterium. RNAcentral describes it as "partial 16S ribosomal RNA". It matches the Rfam family "Bacterial small subunit ribosomal RNA", at positions 29 to 507 of the family's 1533-position model. The record is from RNAcentral.
ACGAACGCUGGCGGCGUGCCUAAUACAUGCAAGUAGAACGCUGAAGAGAGGAGCUUACUCUUCUUGGAUGAGUUGCGAACGGGUUAGUAACGCGUAGGUAACCUGCCUUGUAGCGGGGGAUAACUAUUGGAAACGAUAGCUAAUACCGCAUAACAAUGGAUGACACAUGUCAUUUAUUUGAAAGGGGCAAUUGCUCCACUACAAGAUGGACCUGCGUUGUAUUAGCUAGUAGGUGAGGUAAUGGCUCACCUAGGCGACGAUACAUAGCCGACCUGAGAGGGUGAUCGGCCACACUGGGACUGAGACACGGCCCAGACUCCUACGGGAGGCAGCAGUAGGGAAUCUUCGGCAAUGGGGGCAACCCUGACCGAGCAACGCCGCGUGAGUGAAGAAGGUUUUCGGAUCGUAAAGCUCUGUUGUAAGUCAAGAACGGGUGUGAGAGUGGAAAGUUCACACUGUGACGGUAGCUUACCAGAAAGGGACGGCUAACUACGUG